GACGAACGCUGGCGGCGUGCUUAACACAUGCAAGUCGAACGGGUCUGCCCUGUUUUUUGCGGGGUGGGUCAGUGGCGAACGGGUGAGUAACACGUGAGUAACCUGCCCCUCACUUCUGGAUAACCGCUUGAAAGGGUGGCUAAUACGGGGUGUUCUGGCUGUGCCGCAUGGUGUGGCUGGGAAAGAUUCACUUUUGUGGUGUUUUGGUGGGGGAUGGGCUCGCGGCCUAUCAGCUUGUUGGUGGGGUGAUGGCCUGCCAAGGCUUUGACGGGUAGCCGGCCUGGGAGGGUGGGCGGUCAGACUGGGACUGAGAUACGGCCCAGACUCCUGCGGGAGGCAGCAGGGGGGGGUAUUGCACAAUGGGCGGAAGCCUGAUGCAGCGACGUCGCGUGAGGGAUGGAGGCCUGCGGGUUGUGAACCUCUUUCGCCGGUGAAGAAGGUCCUGCUCUUUGUGGUGGGGUUGACGGUAGCCGGGUUAUGAAGCGCCGGCUAACUACGUG
Molecule: ribosomal RNA, 500 nt
Filed under: uncultured bacterium
Lineage: Bacteria
Description: partial 16S ribosomal RNA
Rfam family: Bacterial small subunit ribosomal RNA
Source: RNAcentral